AUAUUAUUUAUCAAUUGGCAAUUGUUACAGAGAGAGUAUUAUUUUAAAUAAAAUUGUUGUCAAGAACGGCACGCAUCUCAAAAAAACAAUGUAUCAAGGAAAAACAUGACAUGAAAGCAUGAUAAAUUAUGAGCGUGUUUUUUAAUAUUACUGUACCACACACACGCAAGAACUCAUAAACACACACCAAUAGCUUAAAAGCAACAGCAACAUCAUCAUGAGAAAAAGAAAAAUGGAGAAAAUGGAACAAUUUAUAUUUACAAAAUAAAUGGAUGUAAUCCACAAAACACAAGCAAUCAUGACGAUGGCACAAAUGUUUGCACGAAGAGAUGAAAAAUGUUACCCACCAUGGAAAAGAAUACCAACAAAUCUAUUACACAAUGAGGAUAAUAACAAAAGCAAUCUUCGACUGGAUAAGCGGUUUCCUUCAGCCUUCUUUUUUUCAUACUAUAAAUUGUAGAAGUUAGAUGGAUGGACUCACAUCGGAUCAAAGGAUUUGGACCUCAACACUCACCAAUACAACGGAGUCGAGUAGUUUUAAUAGAAGUUCAACGUUCGUUCAUACUACAAUGAAAACUAUUAUUUUAAACAUUUAUUUUAGGAAAAAUGCUUCUUUUUUCUUGCUUUAUUUUUUUUUAAAGAUAUACUUUUAUAAUCUUUUGGUUUUUGUUUGUUUCCAAUGCUUUUAUUAUAUUUGAUUUCUUUUAUUUUCUAAUAAAAAUACAUAC
Culicoides brevitarsis is the source of this 728-nucleotide long non-coding RNA. RefSeq lists it as uncharacterized. The record is from RefSeq and is a predicted model, not a curated record. Lineage: Eukaryota; Metazoa; Arthropoda; Insecta; Diptera; Ceratopogonidae. The transcript is spliced from 3 exons.